RNAcentral lists this transfer RNA (71 nucleotides) under Camelus bactrianus (Bactrian camel). It matches the Rfam family "tRNA". Rfam says of the family: Transfer RNA (tRNA) molecules are approximately 80 nucleotides in length. Their secondary structure includes four short double-helical elements and three loops (D, anti-codon, and T loops). Lineage: Eukaryota; Metazoa; Chordata; Mammalia; Artiodactyla; Camelidae. RNAcentral also lists the same sequence under 2 other names. The record is from Rfam by way of RNAcentral.
GUGGGUAUAGCUUAGUGGUAGAGCACAUGCUUAGCAGCGUGAGGUCCUGCGUUCAAGCCCCAGCACCUACA